Molecule: ribosomal RNA, 507 nt
Filed under: uncultured bacterium
Lineage: Bacteria
Description: partial 16S ribosomal RNA
Rfam family: Bacterial small subunit ribosomal RNA
Source: RNAcentral
AUUGAACGCUGGCGGUAGGCCUAACACAUGCAAGUCGAACGGCAGCACAAGAGAGCUUGCUCUCUGGGUGGCGAGUGGCGGACGGGUGAGGAAUACAUCGGAAUCUACUCUGUCGUGGGGGGAUAACGUAGGGAAACUUACGCUAAUACCGCAUACGACCUACGGGUGAAAGCAGGGGACCUUCGGGCCUUGCGCGAUUGAAUGAGCCGAUGUCGGAUUAGCUAGUUGGCGGGGUAAAGGCCCACCAAGGCGGCGAUCCGUAGCUGGUCUGAGAGGAUGAUCAGCCACACUGGAACUGAGACACGGUCCAGACUCCUACGGGAGGCAGCAGUGGGGAACAUUGGACAAUGGGCGCAAGCCUGAUCCAGCCAUACCGCGUGGGUGAAGAAGGCCUUCGGGUUGUAAAGCCCUUUUGUUGGGAAAGAAAUCCAGCUGGCUAAUACCCGGUUGGGAUGACGGUACCCAAAGAAUAAGCACCGGCUAACUUCGUGCCAGCCGCCGCAGUAA